RNAcentral lists this ribosomal RNA (484 nucleotides) under uncultured bacterium. RNAcentral's name for it is "partial 16S ribosomal RNA". It matches the Rfam family "Bacterial small subunit ribosomal RNA", at positions 30 to 507 of the family's 1533-position model. The record is from RNAcentral.
AUUGAACGCUGGCGGCAGGCCUAACACAUGCAAGUCGAGCGGAUGAAGGGAGCUUGCUCCUGGAUUCAGCGGCGGACGGGUGAGUAAUGCCUAGGAAUCUGCCUGGUAGUGGGGGAUAACGUCCGGAAACGGGCGCUAAUACCGCAUACGUCCUGAGGGAGAGAGUGGGGGAUCUUCGGACCUCACGCUAUCAGAUGAGCCUAGGUCGGAUUAGCUAGUUGGUGGGGUAAAGGCCUACCAAGGCGACGAUCCGUAACUGGUCUGAGAGGAUGAUCAGUCACACUGGAACUGAGACACGGUCCAGACUCCUACGGGAGGCAGCAGUGGGGAAUAUUGGACAAUGGGCGAAAGCCUGAUCCAGCCAUGCCGCGUGUGUGAAGAAGGUCUUCGGAUUGUAAAGCACUUUAAGUUGGGAGGAAGGGCAGUAAGUUAAUACCUUGCUGUUUUGACGUUACCUACAGAAUAAGCACCGGCUAACUUCGUG